AACCUGUCCAGAGAAAGAAGGAGACUUCACAACUUCUCUGUGCAACCUGUGCCAGUGCUCUGUCACCCUCGCAGUAAAGAAGCUUUUCUUCAUAUUCAGAUGGGAAUUUCUGUGUUUCAUUUUGUGCCCGUUGCUUCUCAUCCUACCACCGGGUACCACUGAAAAGAGACUGACCCCAUCCUCUUAACACACUCCCUUCAGAUGUUUAUACACAUUGAUAAGAUUUCUUCUCACUCCU
Molecule: long non-coding RNA, 238 nt
Organism: Cygnus olor (mute swan)
Lineage: Eukaryota; Metazoa; Chordata; Aves; Anseriformes; Anatidae
Exons: 3
Source: RefSeq, a predicted model, not a curated record